RNAcentral lists this ribosomal RNA (468 nucleotides) under uncultured bacterium. RNAcentral describes it as "partial 16S ribosomal RNA". It matches the Rfam family "Bacterial small subunit ribosomal RNA", at positions 28 to 507 of the family's 1533-position model. The record is from RNAcentral.
GACGAACGCUGGCGGCGUGCUUAACACAUGCAAGUCGAACGGAAAGGCCCUGCUUUUGUGGGGUGCUCGAGUGGCGAACGGGUGAGUAACACGUGAGUAACCUGCCCUUGACUUUGGGAUAACUUCAGGAAACUGGGGCUAAUACCGGAUAGGAGCUCCUGCUGCAUGGUGGGGGUUGGAAAGUUUCGGCGGUUGGGGAUGGACUCGCGGCUUAUCAGCUUGUUGGUGGGGUAGUGGCUUACCAAGGCUUUGACGGGUAGCCGGCCUGAGAGGGUGACCGGCCACCAUGGGAAUGGGAAACCGGCCAGACUCCUACGGGAGGCAGCAGUGGGGAAUAUUGCACAAUGGGCGGAAGCCUGAUGCAGCAACGCCGCGUGCGGGAUGACGGCCUUCGGGUUGUAAACCGCUUUCGCCUGUGACGAAGCGUGAGUGACGGUAAUGGGUAAAGAAGCACCGGCUAACUACGUG